RNAcentral lists this ribosomal RNA (433 nucleotides) under uncultured bacterium. Its description in RNAcentral is "partial 16S ribosomal RNA". It matches the Rfam family "Bacterial small subunit ribosomal RNA", at positions 29 to 507 of the family's 1533-position model. The record is from RNAcentral.
AACGAACGCUGGCGGCAUGCCUAACACAUGCAAGUCGAACGAGACCUUCGGGUCUAGUGGCGCAGGGGUGCGUAACACGGGGGAACCUGCCCUUAGGUUCGGAAUAACUCCCCGAAAGGGGUGCUAAUACCGGAGAGGGUCUUCGGACCAAAGAUUUAUCGCCUUUGGAUGGGCCCGCGUUGGAUUAGCUAGUUGGUAGGGUAAAAGCAUGCCAAGGCGACGAUGCAUAGCUGGUCUGAGAGGAUGAUCAGCCACACUGGGACUGCGACACGGCCCAGACUCGUACGCGAGGGAGGAGUAGGGAGUAUUGGACAAGGGGCGAAAGUCUGAUACAGCCGUGCCGGGGGAGUGGUGAAGGCCUUAGGGUUGCAAAGCUGUUUUACCCGGGAUGAUAAUGACGGUACCGGGUGAAUAAGCUCCGGCUAACUACGUG